GCCAUCUCUGCCUAGCUUUGCUUUCGAGAUACUGGUGUCGCUCUUCCCAUCUACUGUACAUCCUUCGCAAUGAGUUUCACCAUUUGGGCUUUAGGCUUAAUUUGGCUGGUUGGUUCCGUGCAUCCGCACACACUUCGUGCCCGCAAUAGGACUAAUGUGCCAACCGUGUACAUCGUCGGUGGCGAUCCCGCUAGCGCCGGUGAAUU
Long non-coding RNA from Daphnia carinata, 206 nucleotides. RefSeq lists it as uncharacterized. Lineage: Eukaryota; Metazoa; Arthropoda; Branchiopoda; Diplostraca; Daphniidae. The record is from RefSeq and is a predicted model, not a curated record. The transcript is spliced from 3 exons.